RNAcentral lists this transfer RNA (74 nucleotides) under Triticum aestivum (bread wheat). It matches the Rfam family "tRNA". From Rfam's summary of the family: Transfer RNA (tRNA) molecules are approximately 80 nucleotides in length. Lineage: Eukaryota; Viridiplantae; Streptophyta; Magnoliopsida; Poales; Poaceae. RNAcentral also lists the same sequence under 1 other name. The record is from Rfam by way of RNAcentral.
GGGUGUAUAGCUCAGUUGGUAGAGCAUUGGGCUUUUAACCUAAUGGUCGCAGGGUUCAAGUCCUACUAUACCCA